Molecule: long non-coding RNA, 1002 nt
Organism: Engraulis encrasicolus (European anchovy)
Lineage: Eukaryota; Metazoa; Chordata; Actinopteri; Clupeiformes; Engraulidae
Exons: 5
Source: RefSeq, a predicted model, not a curated record
UAUACUAUAACUGGACUGCGGAUGUUCGAUGUGUUGUGAAGCAACGGCUGGGGGCGGGACAUGGGACGAUUUUUGGGCGGAAGAAGGAAGUAGAGCGCCUUUUUCCAUUGAUCUCUAUGGUGGACUUGAAGCCAUAUAGUUCCUAGGCAAUUCUUGCCGAGUCGGCCCUGUUUCGUUAAAACGGUAGUCUCCCCUCCCUCCCAAACAACCCAGAUAUUUUUUUCGGGCUGACCCUUUAUUUAAGAAAGCUAUUAAAAUAGUUUAAAUGACCAAUGAGCAUGGCUAUUUGGGUUGAUUGGCAGUUGCCAUUCUUUAGAAUUAUUGUUUUGAUUGACAGGCAGGCCGUUGUCAAGGAGAAGGGCGAGUCUCGCGGCGUCUCCAGGGGAAGCCCCCUCCCUCCCUGCUGCAUUACUUUCAACCAGCUCUGCUUUCAACAGCUUCAUUACUGCGAUGGGUUAUUUAAUUUUGGUACACUUUCCCCACAAAUAUGCGUUGUUGUACUUUUGGAUGUACUUCUCCGUACUCUGUAAGGACCUCUGCAGUUUUGGCAAACAACAAACCACACUUCACCUGGAAAACAGAGCCAGGACUCACUGUCAGAUGUCUGAAAAUGUACAGUAGGCUACACGCCAGCAGGUCUCACCAUAAUCAACAUCAUCAAGGAUUGUCACUCUGACCUGAGAAGAGGCCCCAUAGAGACACGGACAAGGACCAGCCACUGUUGCCAGUGCACAACUGAGGACCCGACCAGCCUGCUGCCAUCUAUGAUACUAUAUAGUACACGCGGAGCGGUCUGAAGACGUGGAGUACACUGCAGCAGGUAUCACAUGACCAAGGACUUGGACAACGUCUCUGUUUACAUCUAUAGUGUAUUACACAACUGAAGAUGUGCACAGUACGCUACUGCCUGCAUCCUACCACCACAGAGGAUCCGAUAUGCAGAACCAGCUUCAAAAACCAUUGCAAUUAUGAAACACAGUUAAUAAAUGCUUAUAUACAGCA